This 85-nucleotide transfer RNA is filed under the name Nitrosospira sp. RNAcentral's name for it is "tRNA-Leu". It matches the Rfam family "tRNA". From Rfam's summary of the family: Transfer RNA (tRNA) molecules are approximately 80 nucleotides in length. Their secondary structure includes four short double-helical elements and three loops (D, anti-codon, and T loops). The record is from RNAcentral. Lineage: Bacteria; Pseudomonadati; Pseudomonadota; Betaproteobacteria; Nitrosomonadales; Nitrosomonadaceae. RNAcentral also lists the same sequence under 8 other names.
GCGAAAGUGGCGGAAUUGGUAGACGCACCAGAUUUAGGUUCUGGCGCCGAGAGGUGUGGGGGUUCGAGUCCCCCCUUUCGCACCA